This 301-nucleotide ribosomal RNA is filed under the name uncultured bacterium. RNAcentral's name for it is "partial 16S ribosomal RNA". It matches the Rfam family "Bacterial small subunit ribosomal RNA", at positions 509 to 807 of the family's 1533-position model. The record is from RNAcentral.
CAGUAGCCACGGGAAUACGAAGGGUGCAAGCGUUACUCGGAAUUACUGGGCGUAAAGCGUGCGUAGGUGGUUGUUUAAGUCUGCUGUGAAAGCCCUGGGCUCAACCUGGGAAUUGCAGUGGAUACUGGCAAGCUAGAGUGUGUCAGAGGAUGGUGGAAUUCCCGGUGUAGCGGUGAAAUGCGUAGAGAUCGGGAGGAACAUCAGUGGCGAAGGCGGCCAUCUGGGACAACACUGACGCUGAGGCACGAAAGCGUGGGGAGCAAACAGGAUUAGAUACCCCGGUAGUCCCUGUCUCUUAUAC